UUUUAGAUAUAGAAGGUAUAUGUGCAGAUUUGUUACAGGGAUAUAUUGCACCCAGGUAGUGAGCAUCGUACCCAACAAGUAGUUUUUCAACUCGUACUCCACUGCCUCCCUUCCUCUAGUAGUCCACAGUGUCUACUGUUCCCAUGUUUAUGUCUAAUACAGCUAUAUUUGAUGCUUCCCUUUUUUUUAGUUUCCUGUCCAUUCCAUUUCCAUGUCUUGUCUAACCUUUCUUUCAAAAUAUUUUCUCUUUCACAAUGCUUCUGUAGUCCAAGGAAAAGUCAAACUUGAACAAAAAGAGGAACAUCUCUUCUGGUGAGACUGGAGAAAAGGAUUUAAGAUACUGAGAGCAUACAGCAGUGGAAUGGUGGGGAGGCAAAAAUCUGCUAUCAUGGAGUUUAAGUUCUAAUGGAAGGUGACACCAAACAAAGGAGAUGGUUAUAUAGUAAAUUAAAAGGUAAUAACUGCUACAUUCCUCUCUCUCUCUCUCUCCUCUCCCUCUCUCUCUCUCUCUCUCUCUCUCUCCUCUCUGUGUGUGUGUGUGUGUGUGUGUGUGUGUGUGAAGGGGAGGGAAAUGGGCAGAUAUUUAUCAUUUUAAUUGAUAAUGUUGCUGAACUAUAAGGCUACAUUUUAAUCAGAGAGAAAGAACUCUACAUCAUUAGCACUUGGAGAUCCUGUAUUUUGAACUGGACAUAGGGACUGGCUGGGAUUUUGAAUUGUCUCUUUUGAGAAGGAAGUUAGCUCUGUGUAGGAAGAAGAAUAAAAAAGACUAUUUGAUAACCAGUAGAAUAAGUUCAGCAGAGACUGGCUAACUGUUCACCAAACCCAGUUUUUCAUCUGGUACACAGAGAGACUACAUUUCUCAGCCUUCUUUGCAGUUAGAAGCAACAAUAUGUGAAGUUCUAAUUAGUGGGAUGUUAGUGGAAGUAAUGAGUGCCACUUCCUGACCUAAUCUGUAUUAAAAAUAUCCCAUGUAUGUUCUCCUUUUGUUCCCUGUUUGCUGGUUAGAUGCUAAUUCUCAGGGCAGCCUGAGAAAUUGUGUAUUGAAGAUGGUAGAGGCUCCAUUAUCCUGAGUAUCUUGAUCUUGUAGACAGUACCUCACACAUUACACUCUGAAAUCAUGCUCUCCUCACCUCCUUGACACUGCCACUAGUUGAACAACAGAGGAAUAAGAAAUCAACAUAUUUUACUAAACCACAGAAUUUAUAAAUUACAGCAGCUAGCGUUCCCUUGACUAAUCAAUAAAUAAUAUUCUUUAUUA
Molecule: non-coding RNA, 1258 nt
Organism: Macaca mulatta (Rhesus monkey)
Lineage: Eukaryota; Metazoa; Chordata; Mammalia; Primates; Cercopithecidae
Source: RefSeq, a predicted model, not a curated record